RNAcentral lists this ribosomal RNA (253 nucleotides) under uncultured bacterium. Its description in RNAcentral is "partial 16S ribosomal RNA". It matches the Rfam family "Bacterial small subunit ribosomal RNA", at positions 524 to 776 of the family's 1533-position model. The record is from RNAcentral.
UACGUAGGUGGCAAGCGUUGUCCGGAUUUACUGGGCGUAAAGAGCGCGCAGGCGGUCGUUCAAGUCGCGUGUGAAAGCCCCCGGCUCAACUGGGGAGGGUCACGCGAUACUGAUCGACUCGAAGGCAGGAGAGGGUAGUGGAAUUCCCGGUGUAGUGGUGAAAUGCGUAGAUAUCUGGAGGAACACCGGUGGCGAAGGCGGCGUUCUGGACUGCAACUGACACUGAUAAACGAAAGCCAGGGUAGCAAACGGG